AUGGAAGGUUUACUCCAUUGGGAUUUCAACCCCGGCCUCAAGGUCGAGGACCAGGUUCGUAGGAGAUUCAAAUCCACGGUUCAUUUCUCUCUCCCUUCUGCAUCCAAGGAAUUUUUCUUGGUGGUCACCUUCUCCUCUGCCUCCUUUCCCCUCUCUUGUGCUUCGGUUGGUUUGGCAAUGUUGCAUUGGAGGUCUUGCUUCUGGCUUUAA
This 210-nucleotide ribosomal RNA is filed under the name Triticum aestivum (bread wheat). RNAcentral's name for it is "partial small subunit ribosomal RNA". The record is from RNAcentral. Lineage: Eukaryota; Viridiplantae; Streptophyta; Magnoliopsida; Poales; Poaceae.